RNAcentral lists this ribosomal RNA (311 nucleotides) under uncultured eukaryote. RNAcentral describes it as "partial 18S ribosomal RNA". It matches the Rfam family "Eukaryotic small subunit ribosomal RNA", at positions 1470 to 1796 of the family's 1831-position model. The record is from RNAcentral.
CCCUUAGAUGUCCUGGGCCGCGCGCGUGCUACACUGAUGCAUACAGCGAGUACUCCCAGCUCCGAGAGGCUGCUGGUAAUCAGCAAUAUGCAUCGUGAUGGGGAUAGAUCUUUGGAAUUAUAGAUCUUGAACGAGGAAUUCCUAGUAAUCGCAGGUCAUCACCCUGCGUUGACUAAGUCCCUGCCCUUUGUACACACCGCCCGUCGCUCCUACCGAUUUCGAGUGAUCCGGUGAAUCAUUCGGACCGCGGCCCCUAGGCAUGCGGAAAGUCUAGUAAACCAUAUCACUUAGAGGAAGGAGAAGUCGUAACA